UUAGUGCGAAAUUUUGGUGUUCAUGAAGUACUAGACCAAAAAACUAUAAUAUUUUUGUAUAAUAAUACCUUGUACUCUACUACAAAUCGAAAAUCAAGUUCUCCGCUAGUUGCUAUGAGAAACAAACUACUAUUAUGCAAAUAUAAACAAGAAAAUUACCGAUUCUGGUGGGAAAAUUAAUCUUUUGAAUUUGCCGAGUGGACGAAGGAGCCCCAAUGACGUGCACAUUAGACGACAUAUAAAGAUUUCAGCUUGUCAUUUCCCACCAGGUGCGCCAUUGCUGCGACUCAGUGAGCCUAGGGCAAGCCGUUCCUGUGAUGCACGAUUUCUAGCUACUUUGGAACAUUAUUCAAUUUUCUUUUUAUUUUAGAGUUCACGUAACACCAGGAUAACCUUCAGUAUGAUCCGAAAUUCCGCGGGGUACGAGUUAAAAAUCUGAAUAUUUGUGCUAUGCAACCUCUCUAGAUGCGUGAAAAUUUAGGUCCAAAAAGCCAUCCUGAUCGUACCAUGUUCUGCUUAUUAAAAUUGAAAAGUAUAUUACUUAAAAUAUUAAGAUAGAAAAUUGAA
Aedes albopictus (Asian tiger mosquito) is the source of this 567-nucleotide long non-coding RNA. RefSeq lists it as uncharacterized. Lineage: Eukaryota; Metazoa; Arthropoda; Insecta; Diptera; Culicidae. The record is from RefSeq and is a predicted model, not a curated record. The transcript has 2 exons.